CGCCUCUUGCACCUGUAUAAGAGGUCCAGCCUGCCCAGUGACUAAGUUCAACGGCCGCGGUAUCCUAACCGUGCGAAGGUAGCGUAAUCACUUGUUCUUUAAAUGAGGACUAGUAUGAAUGGCACCACGAAGGUUAUGCUGUCUCCUUUUUCUAAUCAAUGAAACUGAUCUCCCCGUGAAGAAGCGGGGAUACAACUAUAAGACGAGAAGACCCUAUGGAGCUUUAAACCAUGUAACACUGGCUUAUACAUUAAAAUAUUCCAGAAUUUCUCAUAAUUACUCUAGCCACCAUGAUUACUAGUUUUAGGUUGGGGUGACCACGGAGCAAAAAUUAACCUCCAUGUUAAACGGAGCUACUCCUGAGCUAAAAGCCACGACUUUAAGCACUAAUAAAUUAAUAUUAAUUGACCCAAUAUUUUUGAUCAACGAACCAAGUUACCCUAGGGAUAACAGCGCA
Molecule: ribosomal RNA, 457 nt
Filed under: Dendropsophus aff. minutus
Lineage: Eukaryota; Metazoa; Chordata; Amphibia; Anura; Hylidae
Description: partial 16S ribosomal RNA
Rfam family: Bacterial large subunit ribosomal RNA
Source: RNAcentral